Molecule: non-coding RNA, 143 nt
Filed under: Oryza barthii
Lineage: Eukaryota; Viridiplantae; Streptophyta; Magnoliopsida; Poales; Poaceae
Description: Bacterial large subunit ribosomal RNA
Rfam family: Bacterial large subunit ribosomal RNA
Source: Rfam by way of RNAcentral
UGCAAAGGUUUCCUUGGGCUAACGGACAUUGGUCCUCAGGUACAACGGCAGAAAGAAGCUUGACUGCAAGACUCAUCUGUCGAGCAAAGACGAAAGUCGGCCUUGGUGAUCCGACAAUGCUGAGUGAAAAGGCCGUCGCUCAA